UUUGCCCAGCCCUGGAGCCCCUCUAAGAACACUGUUGGGCAGCAUCAGAGGGUUGGAGGUAGUGUUGGGAGAGGCGCCUUCCUUUUUCAGGUUUUCCUGGCUGGUCUGUCAGUCUAUUGUGUUUUCUCUCUACCCACUACCAGUAAAGAACCAGCAUCUGGCUAAACCAGGCUGUGCUCCUGCUAUGGAGGACCUGCUCCUAGCCCAGACAGCAGUGACUUCCUGGACAUAUGGCCCCACACAGCAGCCGCAUCACUGCAGCCUCAGCUUCCGUCCUUGCGUCCCUCUGAUUUCUUACCACCUCCUUCCCUUUUUCCUGGUGCCACUCAGAUGGUCCAGCAUAAUCUUUGUAUUUGAAGAUCCUUAACUUUAUCACACUGAAAAGUUCCUAUUGUGCGAGAUGGCAGGUGCCCAGGCCCUGGGGACCAGGAUGUAGACAUCUUCAGAGACCAUGAUUGCCGGUCACCAUGGUACAUCUCACAAAUCACCAAGACUCAAAUGGAAACAAAGUCUUUGUAAAUAGGGGAGGGUAGGCAGGGAUAUGGGAAAAAAAUGAGAACUGAGAUCUGUCAUGUAAAGGUAUGAGAUCCCAAUGGUGAAUGUAACUAUACUGUAUGCAUAAAAAGCACCAAUAAACUUAAUGAAAUUAAAAAACAAAUCACCAAG
RNAcentral lists this long non-coding RNA (666 nucleotides) under Fukomys damarensis (Damara mole-rat). RNAcentral describes it as "lncRNA (ENSFDAG00000024110.1)". Lineage: Eukaryota; Metazoa; Chordata; Mammalia; Rodentia; Bathyergidae. The record is from RNAcentral.